GUAUGUGGAUGAUGAGAAGUUGAAAUCAAUCAGUUAUCCCUGUCUGAUAUAUGUGUGCUGAUUUUUUUACACCCUGACAUAUCU
Papaver somniferum (opium poppy) is the source of this 84-nucleotide small nucleolar RNA. RefSeq annotates it as small nucleolar RNA R38. The record is from RefSeq and is a predicted model, not a curated record. Lineage: Eukaryota; Viridiplantae; Streptophyta; Magnoliopsida; Ranunculales; Papaveraceae. The transcript has a single exon.